UGCAGUCGAACGGAAAGGCCCUGCUUUUGUGGGGUGCUCGAGUGGCGAACGGGUGAGUAACACGUGAGUAACCUGCCCUUGACUUUGGGAUAACUUCAGGAAACUGGGGCUAAUACCGGAUAGGAGCUCCUGCUGCAUGGUGGGGGUUGGAAAGUUUCGGCGGUUGGGGAUGGACUCGCGGCUUAUCAGCUUGUUGGUGGGGUAGUGGCUUACCAAGGCUUUGACGGGUAGCCGGCCUGAGAGGGUGACCGGCCACAUUGGGACUGAGAUACGGCCCAGACUCCUACGGGAGGCAGCAGUGGGGAAUAUUGCACAAUGGGCGGAAGCCUGAUGCAGCAACGCCGCGUGCGGGAUGACGGCCUUCGGGUUGUAAACCGCUUUCGCCUGUGACGAAGCGUGAGUGACGGUAAUGGGUAAAGAAGCACCGGCUAACUACGUGCCAGCAGCCGCGGUGAUACGUAGGGUGCGAGCGUUGUCCGGAUUUAUUGGGCGUAAAGGGCUCGUAGGUGGUUGAUCGCGUCGGAAGUGUAAUCUUGGGGCUUAACCCUGAGCGUGCUUUCGAUACGGGUUGACUUGAGGAAGGUAGGGGAGAAUGGAAUUCCUGGUGGAGCGGUGGAAUGCGCAGAUAUCAGGAGGAACACCAGUGGCGAAGGCGGUUCUCUGGGCCUUUCCUGACGCUGAGGAGCGAAAGCGUGGGGAGCGAACAGGCUUAGAUACCCUGGUAGUCCACGCUGUAAACGGUGGGUACUAGGUGUGGGGUCCAUUCCACGGGUUCCGUGCCGUAGCUAACGCUUUAAGUACCCCGCCUGGGGAGUACGGCCGCAAGGCUAAAACUCAAAGGAAUUGACGGGGCCCCGCACAAGCGGCGGAGCAUGCGGAUUAAUUCGAUGCAACGCGUAGAACCUUACCUGGGUUUGACAUGGAUCGGGAGUGCUCAGAGAUGGGUGUGCCUCUUUUGGGGUCGGUUCACAGGUGGUGCAUGGCUGUCGUCAGCUCGUGUCGUGAGAUGUUGGGUUAAGUCCCGCAACGAGCGCAACCCUUGUUCACUGUUGCCAGCACGUUAUGGUGGGGACUCAGUGGAGACCGCCGGGGUCAACUCGGAGGAAGGUGGGGAUGACGUCAAGUCAUCAUGCCCCUUAUGUCCAGGGCUUCACGCAUGCUACAAUGGCUGGUACAGAGAGUGGCGAGCCUGUGAGGGUGAGCGAAUCUCGGAAAGCCGGUCUCAGUUCGGAUUGGGGUCUGCAACUCGACCUCAUGAAGUCGGAGUCGCUAGUAAUCGCAGAUCAGCAACGCUGCGGUGAAUACGUUCCCGGGGCUUGUACACACCGCCCGUCAAGUCAUGAAAGUUGGUAACACCCGAAGCCGGUGGCCUAACCG
Molecule: ribosomal RNA, 1377 nt
Filed under: Cutibacterium acnes
Lineage: Bacteria; Bacillati; Actinomycetota; Actinomycetes; Propionibacteriales; Propionibacteriaceae
Description: bacterial SSU rRNA
Rfam family: Bacterial small subunit ribosomal RNA
Source: RNAcentral